Molecule: long non-coding RNA, 4187 nt
Organism: Ictidomys tridecemlineatus (thirteen-lined ground squirrel)
Lineage: Eukaryota; Metazoa; Chordata; Mammalia; Rodentia; Sciuridae
Source: RefSeq, a predicted model, not a curated record
GGGGAUGACCUGUUCCUUGGGGAGCAGAGCUGACUCUGGAGGCUGGUCCUGCGGCCAUGCUGGGAAAGAAGGAGGGGAGGGGUGACCCUUAGAGCCCGGCAUUGCUGGAUGCAGGAGGACCUGGUCCUGCAGGUGCUGAGGGGCAGACAGGAAGGGAGUCGGCUGCAGCCCAGGGUGCUGCUCUGGCCUUCACAGAACCGUCCUGGUGCUGCCCCAGGUACCUUUAAUACUCCAGGGGUGGCCAGGGAGUCUCUGAGAGGGAUGAAGCUUCCAGCCCACAGAACACAGCGAGCGUGACUGGGUGAUGACGUUACGAAACACGUCACAGUUGUCUAACUGGCAGACUCUCUUGCUGGCUUGGUGGCACAAGUGCCAGACUGGUGUGGCCCAAACAGCAAGGAGCAGAAAGCAGCCUCCAGUCAAAGCCAGAAAACACCGAGGCCCCCAGCAACCCACGCUGCCGGCCACCGUGAGGACUCAGGCAGGUCCUUCUGCAGCCGAGCCUCGGGGAGGCCUGCAGCCCCGAGGACGUCCCUGCACCGAGUCUCUGAAGCAGAGGGGCAGCUAAGCCAAGCCGACUCCUGACCACAGAGACAGGAAGGACAGGUCGGUGUGCGUGGAGCUGCUGUGUGCGCAGUGAUGCCGUCACACGGCCAGGGUUAGGCCACCCGAGGUACGCAGUGGCCAGGUCAGACUGGCCCUCAGAAGACUCAUCCAACCCGAGUCCAGGGCCAUCUGCACUGAUUUUUAUCUUCUGCGCUGCGCUGAGUUCAGUCCUUGCAUAAAACGGGGCCUGAUGCACAUCUGUUCAGCCCUGGCACCGGCUCAGGCACCGAGGACGCGGCUAGCGCACGAGCAAAUCCUGCCUGCACAGCUCAGGGGUGGGGGCCAGGACCCUGGGUCUGGGCUCCCUCCAGCUGCUCCCACCCAGAGUGACUCUGCGCACGCCUCCCUGGGGUUGUGCACCUCACGGAUCAAACCUCCGACCUCCCACGCAGGGUCUGUGCAGGUUGAAUGAGCUAACAUGGCGGCCUGUGCAGAAGCCCACGGAGGGAGGAGUUGUUAUUGUUCUGAAAUGUCCCAGGCAUUCCUGCCGGCUGACUCACGGGGCUCCAGACAUGGAGGGCUCCCUUCCAAAUAAGGCUCGGACGUGUCCAGGCGGCGGCCUGCGGGCUUUGCUGGUCACCCUGCCGCUGAUGUGAGUGCAGAGCCGGAGUCUGUUGACCCAGGGCUGGCCUGCUCCUGGCCUCUCCCGAGUGGCCCAGCUGCAGUGUGGCCGCGAAGGGCCCUGGGAGCGGCCUUCACGGAUCCCGGUGGGGGCUGUGGGCUGGUGUCUGAGUCAGAGGACGGAGGAAGACAGGAGUGGACGGCCGCCAGGGGCCGAGCACAUCUCUCGGCGGGAUUUCAGAGGCCGCGGCCGUCCCGGCAAACCACGGGUUUGGAUCCCGCCAGUGACGGGGACCUCAGAGGAAGGGAGUUUCAACAGCAGCCAGUGCCUUUGGAGGCAGCAAGGACUGGAAUCGAGUUUCUCAUCUGAGACUGAAAAUCUGUUUCUGAGCUUCAGUGGCGGUGACACGUGACCGUGCACUGGUAUCUAGGAGGAGCCCGACCCCGGGAAUCGGCUCCUGUGAUCAUGGAGCCCGAGGAGUUCCACGAAACGCUGUUGGCAAGCUGGACAGGCAGGACAGCGGAGCUGAGACUCAGACUGAGGAGGUCCUGCAGGGUCGGGGGGGUGGGGGCGGCCCUGGCCUGCAUCUGAGUUUGAAGACUUGGGAGCUUUGGGGUCCUUUGGGUGUCCCAUCCCCAGCAGAGAGAGCACAGUGGCCUCCUCCACGGUUUGUCCACCCAGCCCAUGCCCAUCCACCUGGGUGGACUUCACUCAGUCCACAGAGUGAGGGGCUAAGCUCUUCCAACAACGCUCAGAGAUAAAGUGUGGUGUCCCUUAACCCUGGCACGGUGACACUGAAGGUUAGCCGUCACACCAGACUGCACAGCCAGCCCCAGCUGGGUUAACUCAGGGCACGUGGAUCUGCUUAGACCAAGCACGACCACAGGGCACCGUGGCCGCUGGCUGCAUGUGGCUUUCCACGGGAGGCUGACCAAACUCUCUGGGAUCCCCCAAGCAGUGCAUCAGGAACCAGGAUGUGGUGUGUGAUGGGAAGGGAGGGAGCGGGGUGACGUGGCCUCCCCUCAGCUUAUCCUGGAUUCCCUCUGAAGCAGGCCCUGACCCCAUCCUGGGAUCCACACCCAGCCAUCCCCUUGUCGGUGGGCUCUACCUCUGCACAGCCAACCAAUGGCAGGUGGAAGAGACUUGGGGGAAAAACCCCACAUCGAUAAAAAAGAACAAUACAACAACAAGAAAAGUGUGAAGAAAAAAUCGACAUCACCACUGUUCACGUAGCAUUGACAUUGUGUUAGGCGUGACGAGUAACCCAGGGACUGUUUAAAGGACAGGGAGGAAGCACUUAGGUCACAUCCAAGCACCACUGCUGUCAUUCCUAUAAGGGACUCGAGCCACCUCAGAGGUAGGUGACCAUGGGGACCUGGAGCACAUCGUCUUUGGAUCCCGGUCCCCUCCUCCAGGUGCGAGGUAGCUGGGGAGCUGCUUCUGGUCUGCUGUGCUCAGGGCCCAGGGCCGAAGGUCAGGUGCCUGAUCAGACUUGUCACCAGUGCGCCCAGGAGCACACAGGGCCCAGGGGCUGAGGGUGGGUCUUGCUGCACCUGGCUCCCGCUCCGUCUCCGCUGCCCUGGACCAAGCCGGGCCUGCCGCUGUCCCCCUCUUCCUUGGGUUCCCCGCGGCUGUUGAGAGGUGCUGACUACCUCCUGUCCCGUCCUUUGGGGUGCAGAGCCACCGUCAUCUCGGCAGACCUUGGCCCAGCUGCCAACUCUUCUCUUCGUCUGGCCUCCCCGGCCGCCCACUGGGACAGGCAGCAGCAGGACGUGCUGGGCCGGGAGGGGACUGGGAGCUCCGCAGCAGGCUGCCUGGGCCUCCCGAGGGGAGGACUGCCUCCCCUCCCGCUGCCCCAGCCCUGACUCACAGGACACUGGAAAGAGGACAUGAAAUGCCCACAGCUCCAGGGUUCCACGGGGCCACAGGAUCUGGAUCUCUCCAGGGAGAGGAGGGAGUGCCGCAGCCGGGGCCCACGGGGCCACGGAACCUCAUCGGCGGGUGUCCAUAUCUGUGGUCUGUGUUCUGGGGCUGCUUUUCCUGUCCCUCACAGCCAUCCUGACCGCUCCUGUCAUCGAGGGGGCCUGGGCUUCUGCACAGGGAGGCGGAGGCCUCCCUCGUUCAUGGACGAGGCAGGUCUUGCCAGACCAGCACCAGGAGCGGUCAGGCCUGGUCAGAAGUUUUAAUGAAGAGAACAAGAAAUGGUGGGCGGGCACGGGCGGGGGCGGGCGGCUGUGAUUCCAUCUUCCCUUUUGGCAGAAACUAACUUCUCUGCGAGAACAAUGAGAAGUCGGGGUGGAGUUUCCCCUGCCACUCAGCACCCCCAGGAAAGUGCUGUGGCUGCGAGGGCUGGACGGCUCUGCCUGCUGAGCAGGCCUGGAGGGCUGGUCAGUGGCCGCCCGGCUCUGCUGCCUUGCCUGACCCUGAUGUCCUGAGCCCUUCCUGCUGCGCAGACCGCCACACCGUGGCCUAGACCACAGCAUCUGUCGUGUGAAGGCUACUGUUCCCCCGCAGGGCUGGCCUUGGCGAUGUCCUGGGGUCAGUGGAGAGGCAGGCUGGGCAAUGCUGGCCAGGCAGGGGCUGGGGACACGGGACGGCUUCCUUUCCCAGGAAGGAGGGCUUCUUGGAGCAGGGCACCUCACUGGACUCCUGAGUCUGGCACAGCUACGACCCCAAUCCGGGUGGUAGACACAGUCCACAGCCAAGCUGGCCCCUUGCUGGCUGCGUGGUGGCCACUGUACCCUGUGCCUUUCCUGUACCCAGGGUCCCUCUGGGCUUCCUGGGCGUCCGGUCCUGCCUUAUAAAGCUGCUCUCAACUCCACUCAAAGACCCAGUUCCAAGCCCGGCUGGGCCUCCUUGCUGCGGGGGACAGGGACGGGGGCUUCCGGAUACUCGGACAUGGACAACUCCACUGGCCUGCGUCUCUCUUUGUCAAAGGGAGGCCCCGGGCAGGCCGGUUGUCAUUAGGGAAAGCUCGGCAUAGAGUCCACGGGAUAAAAAUGCCGCACCCCUUGAAAAA